GUUGUCGGGUAACAGACCCCUUGGGAGGCCGUACUUGGGGAGGAGGUCAUGGACGUCUGUGAUUGAUUGGAGCGAGGUGGAUGGACGGUUGGGGUUGGGUUUGAGGUCUCUGAGGGAUUGAGAUAAUUGGGUUUCUGAGAAGAGGGUUAGGAGUAGAAGGUAGAGAGAGAUUUGGGUGAUGGAUGAGGCCAUUGAUGAUGAGCUAUAGGAGAAGAAGAGUGGUGGGGAAUUGACUUUGGGAAGAACAGGGGAACAGAAGCGAAGUAAGGGUAAAGAUGGGAAGAAAA
Long non-coding RNA from Rosa chinensis, 287 nucleotides. RefSeq lists it as uncharacterized. Lineage: Eukaryota; Viridiplantae; Streptophyta; Magnoliopsida; Rosales; Rosaceae. The record is from RefSeq and is a predicted model, not a curated record. The transcript has 2 exons.